This 200-nucleotide ribosomal RNA is filed under the name chlamydia-associated clinical sample 591-S. Its description in RNAcentral is "partial 23S ribosomal RNA". It matches the Rfam family "Bacterial large subunit ribosomal RNA", at positions 1 to 210 of the family's 2925-position model. The record is from RNAcentral.
UUAAGCGACUAAGGUACACGGUGGAUGCCCUGGCAGUCAGAGGCGAUAAGGACGUGCUAAUCUGCGAUAAGCGUCGGUAAGUGAUAUGAACCGUAUAACCGGCGAUUUCCGAUGGGAAACCCAGUGUGUUCGUCACACUAUCAUUAACUGAAUCCAUAGUUAAUGAGGCGAACCGGGGGAACUGAAACAUCUAAGGUACC